GAUGAACGCUGGCGGCGUGCCUAAUACAUGCAAGUCGAGCGAACGGACGAGAAGCUUGCUUCUCUGAUGUUAGCGGCGGACGGGUGAGUAACACGUGGAUAACCUACCUAUAAGACUGGGAUAACUUCGGGAAACCGGAGCUAAUACCGGAUAAUAUUUUGAACCGCAUGGUUCAAAAGUGAAAGACGGUCUUGCUGUCACUUAUAGAUGGAUCCGCGCUGCAUUAGCUAGUUGGUAAGGUAACGGCUUACCAAGGCAAUGAUGCAUAGCCGACCUGAGAGGGUGAUCGGCCACACUGGAACUGAGACACGGUCCAGACUCCUACGGGAGGCAGCAGUAGGGAAUCUUCCGCAAUGGGCGAAAGCCUGACGGAGCAACGCCGCGUGAGUGAUGAAGGUCUUCGGAUCGUAAAACUCUGUUAUUAGGGAAGAACAUAUGUGUAAGUAACUGUGCACAUCUUGACGGUACCUAAUCAGAAAGCCACGGCUAACUACGUGCCAGCAGCCGCGGUAAUACGUAGGUGGCAAGCGUUAUCCGGAAUUAUUGGGCGUAAAGCGCGCGUAGGCGGUUUUUUAAGUCUGAUGUGAAAGCCCACGGCUCAACCGUGGAGGGUCAUUGGAAACUGGAAAACUUGAGUGCAGAAGAGGAAAGUGGAAUUCCAUGUGUAGCGGUGAAAUGCGCAGAGAUAUGGAGGAACACCAGUGGCGAAGGCGACUUUCUGGUCUGUAACUGACGCUGAUGUGCGAAAGCGUGGGGAUCAAACAGGAUUAGAUACCCUGGUAGUCCACGCCGUAAACGAUGAGUGCUAAGUGUUAGGGGGUUUCCGCCCCUUAGUGCUGCAGCUAACGCAUUAAGCACUCCGCCUGGGGAGUACGACCGCAAGGUUGAAACUCAAAGGAAUUGACGGGGACCCGCACAAGCGGUGGAGCAUGUGGUUUAAUUCGAAGCAACGCGAAGAACCUUACCAAAUCUUGACAUCCUUUGACAACUCUAGAGAUAGAGCCUUCCCCUUCGGGGGACAAAGUGACAGGUGGUGCAUGGUUGUCGUCAGCUCGUGUCGUGAGAUGUUGGGUUAAGUCCCGCAACGAGCGCAACCCUUAAGCUUAGUUGCCAUCAUUAAGUUGGGCACUCUAAGUUGACUGCCGGUGACAAACCGGAGGAAGGUGGGGAUGACGUCAAAUCAUCAUGCCCCUUAUGAUUUGGGCUACACACGUGCUACAAUGGACAAUACAAAGGGCAGCGAAACCGCGAGGUCAAGCAAAUCCCAUAAAGUUGUUCUCAGUUCGGAUUGUAGUCUGCAACUCGACUACAUGAAGCUGGAAUCGCUAGUAAUCGUAGAUCAGCAUGCUACGGUGAAUACGUUCCCGGGUCU
This 1372-nucleotide ribosomal RNA is filed under the name uncultured bacterium. Its description in RNAcentral is "bacterial SSU rRNA". It matches the Rfam family "Bacterial small subunit ribosomal RNA", at positions 28 to 1381 of the family's 1533-position model. The record is from RNAcentral.